AUCGCUUCUCGGCCUGUUGGCCAAGAUUAAGUUUAGUAACUGUUCUCAUCAGUUUAACAUCUGAUACGUCUCCUAUCAGGGGAUCUUAUAUUGAAUUCACUUUUGGAGCAGGGAGAUGGAAUAGGAGCUUGUUCCGUCCAGUCCACGCAUCGGUCUGGUAUUUGCAGUAUGUCAAGAAAUGGUGCAUCUCCU
This 192-nucleotide small nuclear RNA is filed under the name Stegastes partitus (bicolor damselfish). RNAcentral describes it as "U2 spliceosomal RNA (ENSSPAG00000003716.1)". It matches the Rfam family "U2 spliceosomal RNA". Rfam says of the family: U2 is a small nuclear RNA (snRNA) component of the spliceosome (involved in pre-mRNA splicing). Lineage: Eukaryota; Metazoa; Chordata; Actinopteri; Pomacentridae. The record is from Rfam by way of RNAcentral.